AACGUGGAAUAAUACCUGAUAGUCUCUACGGAGUAAAUGAUGCCUUCGGGUGUCGCUAAAGGAUGGGCUCGCGGCCUAUCAGUUUGUUGGUGAGGUAAAGGCUCACCAAGACUACGACGGGUAGCUGGUCUGAGAGGACGAUCAGCAACACUGGAACUGAGACACGGUCCAGACACCUACGGGUGGCAGCAGUCGAGAAUCAUUCACAAUGGAGGAAACUCUGAUGGUGCAACGCCGCGUGGAGGAUGACGGCCCUAGGGUUGUAAACUCCUGUCAUUGGGGAGUAAGACUUAUGCGUUAAGAGCGUGUAAGUUUGAUAGUACCCAAAGAGGAA
Molecule: ribosomal RNA, 334 nt
Filed under: uncultured bacterium
Lineage: Bacteria
Description: bacterial SSU rRNA
Rfam family: Bacterial small subunit ribosomal RNA
Source: RNAcentral